GAUGAACGCUAGCUACAGGCUUAACACAUGCAAGUCGAGGGGAAACGACAUCGAAAGCUUGCUUUUGAUGGGCGUCGACCGGCGCAUGGGUGAGUAAUGCGUAUCCAACCUGCCCAUCACUUGGGAAUAACACUGCGAAAGUAAGACUAAUACCCAAUGAUAUGCCACGAAGGCAUCGGAAUGGGUCUAAAGAUUUAUCGGUGAUGGAUGGGGAUGCGUCUGAUUAGCUUGUUGGCGGGGUAACGGCCCACCAAGGCAACGAUCAGUAGGGGUUCUGAGAGGAAGGGCCCCCACAGUGUGACUGAGACCCUGUCCAAACUCCUACGGGAGGCAGCAGUGAGGAAUAUUGGUCAAUGGGCGAGAGCCUGAUCCGGCGAAGUAGCGUGCAGGAAGACGGCCCUAUGGGUUGUAAACUGCUUUUAGAAGGGAAUAAAGUGGGUCACGUGUGACUUUUUGCAUGUACCUUAUAAAUAAGGACCGGCUAAUUCCGUG
RNAcentral lists this ribosomal RNA (492 nucleotides) under uncultured bacterium. RNAcentral describes it as "partial 16S ribosomal RNA". It matches the Rfam family "Bacterial small subunit ribosomal RNA", at positions 28 to 507 of the family's 1533-position model. The record is from RNAcentral.